AAUGAGGUAACCCAGAUCCAGUUCCAAAAGGACAUUAAUGGGAUGAAGAAAGGGGCUAUCUCUAAGACGUGACAGAGACCUGGGAAAGGAGACAACCAAGAAUCAAUGGAGGUGACCUUAGCUGUGACUCCGCACUGGGGAUGUGGAGCCUGAAGAGACCACUUCAUGUAGCCAGGCAGGACUUUAGCAUGGUUGUCUUCUGAGAGGCCCCACCCACCUGAUUCAGAGUUAUGCACCCACAGCCAAACAAUGGAUGGAGCUUUGGAACUCUUAUGGAAGAAUAGGAGGAAGGAGUGCAGGUCCCAGAUCAGGAUAUGAACUUCCCAGGAAGAACAAUUGAGUUAAUUAACCUGGACCCUUGGGACUCUCAGAGUCUGAACCACCAACCAAAGAACAUACACCUGCUGAACCUCU
This is a long non-coding RNA of Mus caroli (Ryukyu mouse), 414 nucleotides long. RefSeq lists it as uncharacterized. The record is from RefSeq and is a predicted model, not a curated record. NCBI's taxonomy places the organism in Eukaryota, Metazoa, Chordata, Mammalia, Rodentia, Muridae.